AUCCCUCUGAUGGGGUCCUCAAGAAGGGACAGAUUUUGGUGGGUGGGCCAGAGAACACAGAGUGGCUACAAUACAGGGAAAACCUCCUUAUCAACUUAGAUCCUAGAACAAGUGGCGUGCAAGAAGCUCAUGACCUCUUCAUUACUUUACUAGAGAUGACCUGGAUAAUGAUGCAGAGUUGUUGGCCCUGUUUGAGGUAUCCAUACAGAGGCUUUGACCUUCCUGGAGCUUCUUGUGUCCUCACCUCAUAUGAGAAGAAGAAAUAUGGUGGAUGGUGAUGCCCAGAGCUUCUGGAAGGUGAGAACACAGGGAGGAGAAGAAGAAGGGAAAUGUUCAAGGCAGAGAAGAAUGAAGAAAUGAGGGUGAAGAGCUCCGAGGGUGAAGGAAGCAAGGAGAAGGGAGGCUGUUGGAAGCAUAGCAGGACUGAAGGAGGCAGAGUUUGGAAAGACUGACGUGUGGGAGAAGGACUUGAUUUAUUGUUUGAGCCCAGACGGUAGAGCUGUAAGAUCACUGAGCUAAAUCGGAGCUUGAUAUAAGGAAAACUCCCAAAGAAUUAGAACUUUUCCAAGAAAGAGAGUGAUAAAGAGCAGGGAAACUAAGUCACAGGAAGAAGAACAUUUCUCCAGUGCAAGUUGGGGGAUGAGUUGAUUAGAGUGAGUUUGAAAAUAUUGAUUAACAAUAACUCAAAAAUAGCAAUGAAUAAAUAAUGAUAACUAGCAAUAACUUAACA
Molecule: long non-coding RNA, 730 nt
Filed under: Monodelphis domestica (gray short-tailed opossum)
Lineage: Eukaryota; Metazoa; Chordata; Mammalia; Didelphimorphia; Didelphidae
Description: lncRNA (ENSMODG00000037678.1)
Source: RNAcentral